GCAAGUCGAGCGAACAGAGAAAGUGCUUGCACUUUCAAAGUUAGCGGCGGACGGGUGAGUAACACGAAGGAACCUACCGAUAAGCGGGGGACAACAUCCGGAAACGGGUGCUAAUACAGCAUAGGAAGUUUGUUCGCAGUAACAAACUUAGAAAGAUGGCUCUGCUAUCACUUAGCGAUGGCCUUGCGGUGCAUUAACUAGUUGGCGAGGUAAUGGCCCACCAAGGUGAUGAUGCAUAGCCGACCUGAGAGGGUAAUC
RNAcentral lists this ribosomal RNA (258 nucleotides) under uncultured bacterium. RNAcentral's name for it is "partial 16S ribosomal RNA". It matches the Rfam family "Bacterial small subunit ribosomal RNA", at positions 57 to 305 of the family's 1533-position model. The record is from RNAcentral.